Molecule: ribosomal RNA, 355 nt
Filed under: uncultured bacterium
Lineage: Bacteria
Description: bacterial SSU rRNA
Rfam family: Bacterial small subunit ribosomal RNA
Source: RNAcentral
GGACCCGCACAAGCGGUGGAGCAUGUGGUUUAAUUCGAUGCAACGCGAAAAAACCUUACCUACACUUGACAUACUUCGAAUUUUCUAGAGAUAGAUUAGUGCCUUCGGGAGCGAAGAUACAGGUGCUGCAUGGCUGUCGUCAGCUCGUGUCGUGAGAUGUUGGGUUAAGUCCUAUAACGAGCGCAACCCUUACCCUUAUUUGCCAGCGGUUAGGCCGGGAACUAUAAGGGAACUGCCGGUAAUAAGCCGGAGGAAGGUGGGGACGACGUCAAGUCAUCAUGGCCCUUACGUGUAGGGCUACACACGUGCUACAAUGGGAGAUACAGACGGUUGCAAACCAGCGAUGGGGAGCUAA